Molecule: long non-coding RNA, 1599 nt
Organism: Sorghum bicolor (sorghum)
Lineage: Eukaryota; Viridiplantae; Streptophyta; Magnoliopsida; Poales; Poaceae
Exons: 4
Source: RefSeq, a predicted model, not a curated record
GACGCUAAUACUACCCACAAUCACGCCACAAUCGGCCGUCUCCUCCGUGGCCUCCGCCGCCGCGGCCGUCUCCUCCCGGAACGCUCGAUCUACGAUGCUCUAGUUCUUGUGCUAUAGUAUACACCUCCUGAACACCAUUACUACCGGGCGAGAUCUUCAUCUGGCACUAGCCAGUUGCCAAUUGCCAUCGGCAUCCACUGCAGGUCUGGUUGGUGAGCGGCUGCCAUCAGCAUCCAGGACACCCGGUUUGAUCUUCUGCGACUUGCGAUUACUACACAUGGUGGACAUCAUCGAUUACGUGGAGCAGUGGAUGAGACACAACAGCAGGGUGUUUUGCUUCUGUAAACGAGCACUAAAUAGAAGUUCAUUUACCUGAGCGGCGCUACAACCAUGGAUGUCACAAACAAUAAAGAUGAAUUUGAUCAUAAACUAUUUGAACCAACACAUGAUGAUUGGGACGCUGAUGAAGAUACCAAGCGGACAUGGAUUGCACAACGAAAACUUAUAUGGUCGAUAAAUAUGUACAAGGUACUACAGCAACAUUUAUAAGUCAUGUUACAAAUCCAGCUUAAAUAAAUAUGUAUUUGCAUAGAGCAUAUUUAUGUAUUAAUUAAAUUAAUAUCAUCUCUACAAUAUCUCGCCAACAGAUCAUGAUUGUGUGCUUUCAGAGGGCCCAGCUGCAAUAAUGUAUAUUCAUACCACUUUAUCAGUCCUCAUGUGAAUAUAUAUUGUUAAACGUGUGCUUCAUACUUUCAUUUUAGGCAUCUUGGUAAACCAUUUUAUUUUUAUGGAUUAAUACUUAAUGAUUUAUCGUUUGCACUCUGUAACUUCAAGUGAAUUUUCUUGUACCAAGAUCCCCGAUACUCAUGCCGUCUACUAGCCUAACAACUAUUUUUUUAUCAAACCUAUUAAGUAAAGCUUUUCUGUGAUUCUAAUCAAAUUUACACAUUCGAGUUGAUUUCAUAUUAAAACAGUAAAAUAUAUUAUUUUAUUAUCUUUUAACCUUGUUGUUGUUUGGUUAAUUGCCCAAAGUAGCUUGUGUUUGCAAACACGGAAGAAGUUUUAUUAAUUCCCUAAAGAUCUCUAAGUCAUAAUUUAGGACUUAGAUAGAACGUAACUUAGAUGGUUAAUACUAUAAAUAACUUUACCAUUCAUUCUUAUGCAAAAGUGUUUUCAGACUGUAUACAUGUUCAAAUACAAUUAUGUAAAAUUUAAAAUAUGGAACAAAAUGAUUGGUUGUUUUUAUGUGUAUCCUUGAGAUAAAACCGUGAUGUUAGCACGAGUAUUAUAUGAUAAGCUACGCAUGAAGCUGAAGCUGAGCGGUUAGAGCAUCUCCAAAAGUUUGCUAAAACACUUGCUAUCUCACAAAUUUUGGCAAAUCCAUGAUAAAAACUCUCUCCGACAGUUUGCUAACACAUGUUUACCAAAAAUCUGGAGUUGCCAUCCUCCCUAUCCGCGCGCGGACUUCUACACGCGCGGACUCGUCGCGUAUCUCGUUCCCGGCGCCGUUCGUUGCCGCGAGCUGCUGCCGUGCUGCUGCCGCUGAGGCCUUGUUCAGUUUGCAAAAAAAUUUGGGUUUGGGUACUGUAGCAUUUUCGU